UGUAUCUCAUUAUCUUAAAUUCAAAAUUUCAAUUUCUUCUCUCUCUCUCAGUCCUUUCUCUCAUUCUCUCUCUCUCUUCCUUUCUCACUUUCUCUCUCACGUUUCUUCUCUUCCCUUUCCUUUUUCUUUCUUUCUUCUUUACAAACCGAUGGUACUCUAUGAUACUCUUGGAGCAAUUCUGGUAUGUCCACGGGAACUUACGGAGCUUCGAAACUACUUGUAGUUAUUAUAUGUCACUCUUCAUGUUAGGGUUUGUGGUGAAUUUUGUGCAGGGAGGAUUUGGAGUAUAUAAAGGGUUUUGGUUUUGUGGCUAGGGUUCAAUAACGGGAAAAUUACGGUUUUAAUUUUAUAGAUUUAUCAUCGGUGUUCGGUCGAAGAGGUUGCCGGUUUGAACAUUGUUGCUGUUUUAUUGUUAUAGUGUCCACAAAAUCAAUGUUUUGUUGUUGUUGGUCGUAAACAAGCAUCUUUGAAAUUGCCUUUAAUGGUGGGAACAUAUUCGGUGUCGGCUUUGCUUCGUCAAGUGCAGGUUUGAUGCUUAUAGGACUGCCAUUGUGAAGACUGAAAAACAAUGUAUGUGGAAAGCUGUCGGAGAACUCCAUGUCUCAGGUUUUGGCAAGUCUCAAACAGCUCAUUGGAAUUGAAUUGAUAAGCACUGAUUGAGCACUGAUAUCUCUUUAAAUGAUUCUCAAGUCUAAAUGAUUCUGAAGUUUCUGCAUACAGAAGACAGAUUUUAAAUGGCUUGAAGUAUAUUCAUGAAAAUGAUGUAGUCCAUAGGUAACAGAUUUGCCAAUAUUAAAGUGGAGACGAAAUCGAAGUGUCGCCGAAAAAUUGCUCCUCACCAAUCUCAACAGAGUAUCGUCCGAGGAGACUUUAAAAAAACAUGUGUAUAGUUUUGUUGCACAAACUUGAUCAUUAAGCUUAGCACUAGAACCAUAAUGUCAUAAUUUGAUUUAUUUGUAACAGGUGAGCUUAGGCGGUCAAGAAAUAAUUGAAGGUCAUUUGUUGGCCGCACUGACAGUACUCAUCGCAACUGAUAUGGAAACUGUACAACAAUUGGUGUUUCCGGUGUUGGUAUUGUAAUGGCAGCAUAUGGAGCUUUUGGUGGAAUAGUAAGUAUUGCUAUUGAAUGCAAAACAGUAGUCCCUUGAGUGGUGUUUCAAAAGUGACUUGAUUACGUCAUGCUUGCGAGCAUUUCUUUCUUAUUUUCUUCUUAUAUCUGUUUUUCUUUGGCCAUUAUUCUUUAAAUAUACCGUAACUGUUUUCUAGCCGCUGGUCGUCUCACUUCUGGUCUCACAUCCAUUACAUCAAUAGUUUCUUUUAGAGCUUUUGUUCAAACUCUUGCACUAAUAUUACUUCGGUUAAAUUUCAAGUUUGCAAUAUUCCUUAUGUUUGGCUGAUGUUUAUGGAUAUUAUUUUCCCCAUGUAAUUUCAUUUCGCUUAUAAUUUUGUUGGCACUCCUGAUGCACAACAUAUCUACGAACAUAUUACUAUUCUAUAUACCAGGUUCUGAUUAAUCCAUCUGGGAAAGACAAGAAUAUGGGAGAGGAUUUCAUACUUGAAACUCUAACUUUUUGUUUCUGUAAAAAAAUUAAGUCUUUAAUAUAAAAAACACUUAAUGCUCUUUGUUGACAACUAUGGAAUUUCUUGAAUCUGGAGGAGAAAGGCAUGGCAACAAGGGCUACUAUAUUCAGCCUACCCAGUGAUUUUUCAUUAAUCAGUUGAUUUUUCAUUAUUACUUUUCUACACAUUUG
This is a long non-coding RNA of Vicia villosa (hairy vetch), 1751 nucleotides long. RefSeq lists it as uncharacterized. The record is from RefSeq and is a predicted model, not a curated record. NCBI's taxonomy places the organism in Eukaryota, Viridiplantae, Streptophyta, Magnoliopsida, Fabales, Fabaceae. The transcript has 6 exons.